GGGGGUGACUGGCUUCGACGGGGAACAGGAGGUCAACGGUGCGUGUCGAGCUCUCGGAGUCUCGUUAAACCUUCGGGAAAACAAUAAUUGCCAACGAACCAUUGGCUCUCGCAGCUUAAUUGACUGCGACGUCUCUCCAUUCUUUGUCUGUGGGCAUGGAAGAGGCGACACCUUAGCAGGCUGGUCCAAUGCUGGUGCUCCAGCGGCUGCGGACGAGAAAACUCUGGGCUAGCGAACGUUCUAAGCCGGUCGGUGGGCGUGGACGGUCGCGAAAUUUAAAUCAUCGACUACGCACGUAGGACCAUUGCGCUGAAUGUCUUCGGACGCGGGUUCAAAUCCCGCCACCUCCACCA
Molecule: transfer-messenger RNA, 353 nt
Filed under: Candidatus Nitronereus thalassa
Lineage: Bacteria; Pseudomonadati; Nitrospirota; Nitrospiria; Nitrospirales; Nitrospiraceae
Rfam family: transfer-messenger RNA
About the family: Bacterial tmRNA, also known as 10Sa RNA or SsrA, is named for its dual tRNA and mRNA-like properties. Its role is to liberate the mRNA from a stalled ribosome.
Source: RNAcentral